AAAGAGUAACCAGCCACCCGGGCUUGUAACUCCCGUUCUCGCACUCCAGAUAAGGCGAAGACCACUUGACGUGGCUCUUGUCCCCGCCGAGCCCGUCCUUGCGCCGCCAGCUGUGGCCCAGGCCCCGGGGCCCCUGAUUGGGGCCGCGGCGGUGUAAGUGGGGCCUCCACUUGCGCCGGAGGCCGUGGAACCACUCCGUCUCCAGGGUGGCGUUGGCCAGGUGGGGUGCGGAGGAGGACAGGUCUUGGAAAAGGAUGCGGCUCUCCUCGCGCGUGGCCUGGAGGAAGACCUGUGGGGCCGGCGCGGACAGCGACUCGGUGCUGAAGGUGAUGGCCGCCCGGGAGAUGCUGGGCUCGCCCUCCAGAAGGCUCCGAACCAGAGCCUGGUACCACUCCAGGUCGUCCUGCAAGUUCUGCUCCCGCGACUUAUUGCUCUGCAGCAUCACGUUGAGGAAGUUGGUGGCGUGUGUCAGUGUGUCCAGCGCCCCGUGCAAGGAGGGAUGCGCGCUGGCCAGGGCUGGCCACUUCCCCGGCAGGCCCGCCAACUCGUAGCGGCCGGAGCAGUUGGCUCGCUUCAGCUGGUGGGAGUCCCCGGUGUAGAGCACUAUUCCUAGGCCUCCAAGGUGUCUCCUCAAAGACUGGCUGACCCACUUUCCAGAUGGAGCCAACAUCAUCCUCUGUCUCAUCCAUAAAUCAUGAACAGAAGGCCCAGGAAAUGAGAAGCGGAGUCCCCACUGGGAGAGGAGCAGAGCUUCCAGCAUGAGGCCCACAGCGAGAUCACAGAAGCACAGCGGAAUUCUCCAGAAAGCCAGUUGUGAUCAAUGGCAGCACAGCCUGGUCCCACAUGAAAUGUUCCUGGAUUUUAAAACACAAAUAAACAGUAAUGCAGAAAUUAGAGAAGACGUAUCGUUUACCAAAUUUAAUCUGGCACAUUUAAUAAUACAUUAUGAUAAUUAUGGCACCUGAAAGCUAGAUAUAAAUACUCAUUCAUUUGCAAUUCAUUGACAAUAAUAGUUAUUUCUGAGAUUCCCUCAGACCAAUGAUGGGAAAGAGAAAAGAUAAAGUUAAUGAGCUUCUCCUCUGACAGAAGGAGGUCACAGGCCACUCUUCUGGUCGUCAUUCUGUAAAAAGGAUUAAAGGUAUGAGCUCAGGGAAGGAUGACUUCCCACAGUACUUUCUUGAAGUUCUUUUGGAAGAAGAAAUAGUUAGAUACCCUAGAGAGGCUGAUUUCGGUGUUCAUUUAGAAGUCAAAGGCAUGAGGUCAGACCUUGGUCUCAUAAUAGAUUAACAGCAAGAGAAAUUAUUACUGUGGGUUUUGUUUUUGUAUUUAUUUAUUUAUUUAGACAUCAAGAAACUGUGAAACUGAGCAGCCCUUCAGUGGGAGCUGGUAGGAAGGGCAGCUAGAUAUGUAAGCAAUCUAGAAAAACAGUUGUACUUUCAGUAACUAAUAAAAUUUAGUCCAAGUAUUUGCCUAAGACUUUUACUUUUUAGUACUCAUACUUUUUACUACUCAUCCCAAGUAAAUUAAGAAUUGAAGUCGGAAAGGCCAGAUCACAGAAUGUCUCUUAAAUAUAGGCAAAUGAUUUUAGAUUUUAUACAGUAAUUUCUUGAUCACUGAUAAGUUUGUCUCUAAUAUUGACUCAAAGGUGAGGAAAAGAGUAGUUCUCAGACAAAAAAAAAAUGCCCAGGAAUAGGUAUCAACAUAGCCAAAUGACUUGUGAAUUACUGAAUUCCUAAAAGCCAGGACAGAGCUUUUGAAAAUUAUGAUAAAGUUAUCUUCUUCUUCAGUUUUUUGGCGUUGUAUUACAAUGUCUAGGAAGGAAGCUGGGUUUCCCCACCCUCACAUCUACUCCCUUCUAUGAGGAAGGCAGAUAUAGGACAAGGACCAGGACAGUACUGGACCAUAGCACUAAGGGGUAGGCUUUUAGGCAUUAAGAGUGCAGAAGAUAAAAUUUAAAAAUCAAUCCAUCUUAAUCAAUAAAACAUCUUAUCUCUGCAUAGUAUACCUACCUGAAUUCCUUUUUUGGAAUCUUUUUCCUUAUUUAAACUUGUCAUUUGAGCAGCUGAAGUAAAAAUAUGGGCCCAGGACCCCCUUCUUAGUGAGGAAAUCGCUUCCUACCUUCACCCCAACCACAUCGUCACUAAAACAAAUCAAUUAAAAACAGCCUCCAAUCAAAGGUCAAAGGAAACCAGAGGGAGCUAAGGGAAAAUGCACCAUGAAGUGGGCAGUUCAGCCUGGUCAUUCUAGCUCUUCCUUCUAAGAGCUUAAGUUUUAAUUCAUAAAUUAUCUCUUCCUGGUUGGGUUUGGCUUUUGUGGUUUUUUUCUUGCCAUAAAAGUGAUAAGGCAUGAAAUUCCAAGUUUAGGGUGUGAGCCUGGGGGAAAAAUAGCCAAGAAAACCACCUGGUUGCCUUCAGGCUAGGCUUCCAAGUCCUAGGGGC
RNAcentral lists this non-coding RNA (2438 nucleotides) under Pongo abelii (Sumatran orangutan). The record is from RNAcentral. Lineage: Eukaryota; Metazoa; Chordata; Mammalia; Primates; Hominidae.